RNAcentral lists this ribosomal RNA (490 nucleotides) under uncultured bacterium. Its description in RNAcentral is "partial 16S ribosomal RNA". It matches the Rfam family "Bacterial small subunit ribosomal RNA", at positions 29 to 507 of the family's 1533-position model. The record is from RNAcentral.
AGUGAACGCUGGCGGUAGGCCUAACACAUGCAAGUCGAACGGCAGCACAGGAGAGCUUGCUCUCUGGGUGGCGAGUGGCGGACGGGUGAGGAAUACAUCGGAAUCUGCCCAGUCGUGGGGGAUAACGUAGGGAAACUUACGCUAAUACCGCAUACGACCUUCGGGUGAAAGAGGGGGAUCGCAAGACCUCUCGCGAUUGGAUGAGCCGAUGUCGGAUUAGCUAGUUGGCGGGGUAAUGGCCCACCAAGGCGACGAUCCGUAGCUGGUCUGAGAGGAUGAUCAGCCACACUGGAACUGAGAUACGGUCCAGACUCCUACGGGAGGCAGCAGUGGGGAAUAUUGGACAAUGGGCGCAAGCCUGAUCCAGCCAUACCGCGUGGGUGAAGAAGGCCUUCGGGUUGUAAAGCCCUUUUGUUGGGAAAGAAAUCUUUCAGGCUAAUACCCUGGGAGGAUGACGGUACCCAAAGAAUAAGCACCGGCUAACUUCGUG